Molecule: ribosomal RNA, 376 nt
Filed under: Fuligo septica var. flava
Lineage: Eukaryota; Evosea; Eumycetozoa; Physariida; Physaraceae
Description: partial small subunit ribosomal RNA
Rfam family: Bacterial small subunit ribosomal RNA
Source: RNAcentral
AAACACAGUAAAAGACUGAGGAAUAACCUCUUUAAGCUGCGUUCACUGAUUAUUUUGAGUGCUAAAGAUGGAUUUAGAAUUUCUGAAGUAAGGGUAAAAUCUGUUGAUAUCAGAAAGACUUUCGAUGGCGAAAGCAUUUACCAAUUUGGUUCUGACGCUGAGGUACUAAAGUAUGGGGAGCAAAAAGGAUUAGAGACCCUAGUAGUCCAUACCUUAAACAAUGAGUGUUCAACGUCUUUUAAGUACCCAAAAUAAGAUUCAUAUGAAUCUUAUUUUGAGAGGAUUAUUGGGGGUUUGAAGCUAACGCGCGAAACACCGCCUGGGGAAUGUGGCCGCAAGGUUAAACUCAAAGGAAUUGACGGAGACUCAUACAAGG